This 567-nucleotide ribosomal RNA is filed under the name Tapeinus sp. 00052200. Its description in RNAcentral is "eukaryotic LSU rRNA". It matches the Rfam family "Eukaryotic large subunit ribosomal RNA", at positions 713 to 1155 of the family's 3401-position model. Lineage: Eukaryota; Metazoa; Arthropoda; Insecta; Hemiptera; Reduviidae. The record is from RNAcentral.
GGCGUAAUGAAAGUAAAAAGUAUAGUUAUUUAAAAAAUAAUGAAAAGAAAUUUUCUUAUUUUUAACUUUAUAACUAUCUUAAGGGAAGAUGGAAAUCACCAUUUAUAUAUAAUAUAUAUUUUAUAUGUGUUAUAUUAAAUGUAUUAGAUUUCUCGCACUCCCGGGGCGCUUGUUUCACGCUUUGCGUGUCAAUGCGCACCUAGAGCGUACACGCUGAUACCCGAAAGAUGGUGAACUAUGCCUGGCCAGGACGAAGCCAGGGGAAACCCUGGUGGAGGUCCGCAGCGAUUCUGACGUGCAAAUCGAUCGUCGGAGCUGGGUAUAGGGGCGAAAGACCAAUCGAACCAUCUAGUAGCUGGUUCCCUCUGAAGUUUCCCUCAGGAUAGCUUGCGCUCGGUUGAGAAGAGUCUCAUCCGGUAGAGCGAAUGAUUAGAGGCAUUGGGGUCGAAACGACCUCAACCUAUUCUCAAACUCCAAAUAGAUGAGACCCCCGGCUUUCUUAAAAGUGAAGCCGUGGGAUUUUGAUCAGAGUGCCAAGUGGGCCAAUUUUGGUAAGCAGAACUGGCG